Microplitis demolitor is the source of this 159-nucleotide long non-coding RNA. RefSeq lists it as uncharacterized. The transcript has 4 exons. The record is from RefSeq and is a predicted model, not a curated record. Lineage: Eukaryota; Metazoa; Arthropoda; Insecta; Hymenoptera; Braconidae.
UCUUUCAAAAUGAAUUUUAAAUUUUCAUCACUUAUUUUAUUACUCACAUUGUUGGCAGUCAUCGCAAAUGUCAAUGCAAAUUACCUUUCGGCCGCAUGUUCCACAUUAUUACCGGAUGAAUGUUCCGCAUUAUUACAUGAAGAUUAGGAUACUCCUUAA